Molecule: unclassified non-coding RNA, 438 nt
Filed under: Hevea brasiliensis (rubber tree)
Lineage: Eukaryota; Viridiplantae; Streptophyta; Magnoliopsida; Malpighiales; Euphorbiaceae
Source: RNAcentral
AUUUUUAUUUUUUAUUUUUAAUUAAUGUCUGUAGCUCCACAUGCUGCUGAAGUUCAGGUUUUCAUCAUGCCUCUUGUUUGUUUUCUUUUAGCCAAGCAAAGCCUAAUUUUUUGCCCUGAGAUUGUUGUAAACCAACAUUGAAAAAUCUUUAUUCCUUGUAAGAACAGCAUAAUUAAUUUUAGUGUAAUUCAAACCAAUUUUUAAGCGGAUAUGGUGUGUUUCAUCAGUGUGAAUAUUUGCAGCAACAAUUAAUUCCGUCCAAGAAACACAUCAUUCUCAAGCAUUCCAUAAACCAGCAAACAGAUAAAUCUCUGUUUUUGUUAUUGGGACUCGAUAGCAUACCAAACCACAAUCAUUCUUUCAAUGAUGGUAACAGAAGAUAUUAGUGCAAGCAUGGUGGCAGAAACUAUAAAUACGCUGGUCCUAAUAAGAGAAUGA